Molecule: long non-coding RNA, 403 nt
Filed under: Arachis ipaensis
Lineage: Eukaryota; Viridiplantae; Streptophyta; Magnoliopsida; Fabales; Fabaceae
Description: long non-coding RNA (AIPA_LNC000626)
Source: RNAcentral
GUCCGUAGCUUUUCAAUUAGCCAUCCUGUCUGUACCUCUGAAAAUGAUUUUUUAAAAAUUUUGGGGUGAGAACAAAGCCACACGUUCUCAGUAGGGAACGUGAAUGCCGCAAUAAACAGAGUAAAUACAAAUAGCUAGUUCAUAUCACAAAAACAAUUUCACUUAAAACAGUUUUAAAUUCCUUUCUUUAAAUCACGUUACUUACACAAAAAUCCAGUCACAUUAACAGUUCCUUAUCCAUAAACAACAUUCCUAAAUACAUUAUUAAGACUACAACACAAGUAAAAUAUUCAUCAAGCACACAAGCAAAUCACCAAAACAACAGCUCAAUCACAAAUGAACAAUAAAGCAAACGCAAUCAAAUGUAAAUGCGCAAACAAGAUGAUGCAUGCCUGUUCCUAGC